This 404-nucleotide ribosomal RNA is filed under the name Actinomycetes bacterium. RNAcentral's name for it is "Actinobacteria bacterium partial 16S ribosomal RNA". It matches the Rfam family "Bacterial small subunit ribosomal RNA", at positions 355 to 776 of the family's 1533-position model. Lineage: Bacteria; Bacillati; Actinomycetota; Actinomycetes. The record is from RNAcentral.
AGGGGAAUAUUGGACAAUGGGCGCAAGCCUGAUCCAGCCAUGCCGCGUGAGUGAUGAAGGCCCUAGGGUUGUAAAGCUCUUUCACCGGUGAAGAUAAUGACGGUAACCGGAGAAGAAGCCCCGGCUAACUUCGUGCCAGCAGCCGCGGUAAUACGAAGGGGGCUAGCGUUGUUCGGAUUUACUGGGCGUAAAGCGCACGUAGGCGGACUAUUAAGUCAGGGGUGAAAUCCCGGGGCUCAACCCCGGAACUGCCUUUGAUACUGGUAGUCUUGAGUUCGAGAGAGGUGGGUGGAAUUCCGAGUGUAGAGGUGAAAUUCGUAGAUAUUCGGAGGAACACCAGUGGCGAAGGCGGCUCACUGGCUCGAUACUGACGCUGAGGUGCGAAAGCGUGGGGAGCAAACAGG